RNAcentral lists this ribosomal RNA (956 nucleotides) under uncultured bacterium. Its description in RNAcentral is "bacterial SSU rRNA". It matches the Rfam family "Bacterial small subunit ribosomal RNA", at positions 467 to 1447 of the family's 1533-position model. The record is from RNAcentral.
AUAUGACGUACUGAGAUAGCACGCUAUCGUGCAGCAGCGCGUAUACGGGAGUGGCAGCGUAUCGGAAUAUUGGGCGUAAGCGUCGCAGCGCUUUUCAAGUCUGCUGUAAAGCGUGAGCUUAACUCAUCAUGGCAGUGGAAACUGAAAGGCUUGAGUAUGGUAGGGGCAGAGGGAAUUCCCGGUGUAGCGGUGAAAUGCGUAGAUAUCGGGAAGAACACCAGUGGCGAAGGCGCUCUGCUGGGCCAUUACUGACGCUCAUGGACGAAAGCCAGGGGAGCGAAAGGGAUUAGAUACCCCUGUAGUCCUGGCCGUAAACGAUGAACACUAGGUGUCGGGGGAAUCGACCCCUUCGGUGUCGUAGCUAACGCGUUAAGUGUUCCGCCUGGGGAGUACGCACGCAAGUGUGAAACUCAAAGGAAUUGACGGGGGCCCGCACAAGCGGUGGAGUAUGUGGUUUAAUUCGAUGCAACGCGAAGAACCUUACCAGGGUUUGACAUCCUGCGAACCUCUUAGAAAUUUGAGGGUGCCUUCGGGAAUGCAGUGACAGGUGGUGCAUGGCUGUCGUCAGCUCGUGUCGUGAGAUGUUGGGUUAAGUCCCGCAACGAGCGCAACCCACGUUUUUAGUUGCCAGCAUUUAGUUGGGCACUCUAGAAAGACCGCCGGUGAUAAACCGGAGGAAGGUGUGGAUGACGUCAAGUCAUCAUGCCCCUUACACCCUGGGCUACACACGUACUACAAUGCUACGGACAAAGGGCAGCAAACUCGCGAGAGCUAGCAAAUCCCAUAAACCGUGGCUCAGUUCAGAUCGUAGGCUGCAACUCGCCUACGUGAAGUAGGAAUCGCUAGUAAUCGCAGGUCAGCAUACUGCGGUGAAUACGUUCCCGGGCCUUGUACACACCGCCCGUCACACCAUGGAAGUUGGCCAUGCCCGAAGUCGUUACUCCAACCCUUGUGGA